AUUGAACGCUGGCGGCAUGCUUUACACAUGCAAGUCGGACGGCAGCACAGAGAAGCUUGCUUCUUGGGUGGCGAGUGGCGAACGGGUGAGUAAUAUAUCGGAACGUACCGAGUAAUGGGGGAUAACUAAUCGAAAGAUUAGCUAAUACCGCAUAUUCUCUGAGGAGGAAAGCAGGGGACCUUCGGGCCUUGCGUUAUUCGAGCGGCCGAUAUCUGAUUAGCUAGUUGGUGGGGUAAAGGCCUACCAAGGCGACGAUCAGUAGCGGGUCUGAGAGGAUGAUCCGCCACACUGGGACUGAGACACGGCCCAGACUCCUACGGGAGGCAGCAGUGGGGAAUUUUGGACAAUGGGCGCAAGCCUGAUCCAGCCAUGCCGCGUGUCUGAAGAAGGCCUUCGGGUUGUAAAGGACUUUUGUCAGGGAAGAAAAGGCUGUUGCUAAUAUCGACAGCU
Molecule: ribosomal RNA, 450 nt
Filed under: Neisseria flavescens
Lineage: Bacteria; Pseudomonadati; Pseudomonadota; Betaproteobacteria; Neisseriales; Neisseriaceae
Description: bacterial SSU rRNA
Rfam family: Bacterial small subunit ribosomal RNA
Source: RNAcentral